Molecule: ribosomal RNA, 739 nt
Filed under: uncultured Flavobacteriales bacterium
Lineage: Bacteria; Pseudomonadati; Bacteroidota; Flavobacteriia; Flavobacteriales
Description: bacterial SSU rRNA
Rfam family: Bacterial small subunit ribosomal RNA
Source: RNAcentral
AGGCUUAACACAUGCAAGUCGAGGGGUAGAGUUCUUCGGAAUUUGAGACCGGCGCACGGGUGCGUAACGCGUAUGCAAUCUGCCUUCCACAGAGGGAUAGCCCAGAGAAAUUUGGAUUAAUACCUCAUAGCAUUACAGGAUGGCAUCAUCCGGUAAUUAAAGUCACAACGGUGGAAGAUGAGCAUGCGUCCCAUUAGCUAGUUGGUAAGGUAACGGCUUACCAAGGCGACGAUGGGUAGGGGUCCUGAGAGGGAGAUCCCCCACACUGGUACUGAGACACGGACCAGACUCCUACGGGAGGCAGCAGUGAGGAAUAUUGGUCAAUGGGCGCAAGCCUGAACCAGCCAUGCCGCGUGCAGGAUGACGGUCCUAUGGAUUGUAAACUGCUUUUGUACGGGAAGAAACACUGAUUCGUGAAUCAGCCUGACGGUACCGUAAGAAUAAGGAUCGGCUAACUCCGUGCCAGCAGCCGCGGUAAUACGGAGGAUCCAAGCGUUAUCCGGAAUCAUUGGGUUUAAAGGGUCUGUAGGCGGUCUUGUAAGUCAGUGGUGAAAGCCCAUCGCUCAACGGUGGAACGGCCAUUGAUACUGCAGGACUUGAAUUACCGGGAAGUAACUAGAAUAUGUAGUGUAGCGGUGAAAUGCUUAGAUAUUACAUGGAAUACCAAUUGCGAAGGCAGGUUACUACCGGUGGAUUGACGCUGAUGGACGAAAGCGUGGGGAGCGAACAGGAUUAGAUA